This 475-nucleotide ribosomal RNA is filed under the name Scinax nebulosus (Spix's snouted treefrog). Its description in RNAcentral is "partial 16S ribosomal RNA". It matches the Rfam family "Bacterial large subunit ribosomal RNA", at positions 1938 to 2606 of the family's 2925-position model. Lineage: Eukaryota; Metazoa; Chordata; Amphibia; Anura; Hylidae. The record is from RNAcentral.
UAUCCUAACCGUGCGAAGGUAGCGUAAUCACUUGUUCUUUAAAUGGGGACUAGUAUGAAUGGCAUCACGAGGGUUAUACUGUCUCCUUUUUCUAAUCAGUGAAUCUAAUCUCCCCGUGAAGAAACGGGGAUACACCUACAAGACGAGAAGACCCUAUGGAGCUUUAAAUACCUCUUCAAGCGCUAUGAAGACAACUUUAGGUUGGGGUGACCGCGGAGUACAACAUAACCUCCACGCUGAAUCAGACUCUUUAGCCUGAGCCAAGAGCCACUGCUCAAAGCACUAAGAAAUUAACAUUUAUUGACCCAAAACAUUUGAUCAACGAACCAAGUUACCCUAGGGAUAACAGCGCAAUCCAUUUCAAGAGUCCAUAUCGACAAAUGGGUUUACGACCUCGAUGUUGGAUCAGGGUAUCCCAGUGGUGCAGCCGCUACUAAUGGUUCGUUUGUUCAACGAUUAAAACCCUACGUGAUCU